Molecule: non-coding RNA, 104 nt
Organism: Gossypium arboreum
Lineage: Eukaryota; Viridiplantae; Streptophyta; Magnoliopsida; Malvales; Malvaceae
Source: Rfam
CCGUAAUGUGGACAUUUUUGAAUCAACGUCUUAAAAUGCUCCCAAGCUUCGUGAAAACUCUCUCCCUCUAACUGCUUAAACAUAGUAAUUUCCUUUCUUAGUUG